UAUAUAGUAAUAUGAUGUCCGACGUGCAC
Molecule: small RNA, 29 nt
Filed under: Bombyx mori (domestic silkworm)
Lineage: Eukaryota; Metazoa; Arthropoda; Insecta; Lepidoptera; Bombycidae
Description: ovarian small RNA-6539
Source: RNAcentral